Molecule: unclassified non-coding RNA, 228 nt
Filed under: uncultured fungus
Lineage: Eukaryota; Fungi
Description: sequence contains ITS1
Rfam family: 5.8S ribosomal RNA (bases 1-118)
About the family: 5.8S ribosomal RNA (5.8S rRNA) is a component of the large subunit of the eukaryotic ribosome. It is transcribed by RNA polymerase I as part of the 45S precursor that also contains 18S and 28S rRNA. Functionally, it is thought that 5.8S rRNA may be involved in ribosome translocation.
Source: RNAcentral
UGAAAGGCGAAACGUAAUGUGAAUCGCAACUAACAGUGAAUCAUUGAAUUUUUGAACGCAGGCCGCAGCUCACAACAUUACUUACGUUUUGUAGUCAGCUAUCUAUGUAUGAGUGUCAGUCGUAUUCAUUUUAAGCGUCAUUCAAAGCGUAAGCAGAAUGAGCUUCUGGUCGAACACCAGAAAUUAAAUUUCUGGCCUCAUAUAUGGAAGGUUACCCGCUGGAUUUAA